Molecule: ribosomal RNA, 468 nt
Filed under: uncultured bacterium
Lineage: Bacteria
Description: partial 16S ribosomal RNA
Rfam family: Bacterial small subunit ribosomal RNA
Source: RNAcentral
GACGAACGCUGGCGGCGCGCCUAACACAUGCAAGUCGAACGGAGCUGAGAGAAGCUUGCUUUUCUUAGCUUAGUGGCGAACGGGUGAGUAACGCGUGAGUAACCUGCCCUGGAGUGGGGGACAACAGUUGGAAACGACUGCUAAUACCGCAUAAGCCCACGAUCCGGCAUAGGAUUGAGGGAAACGGAUUUUUUCGCUUUAGGAUGGACGCGAGUCCAAUUAGCUAGUUGGUGAGGUAACGGCCCACCAAGGCGACGACUGGUAGCCGGACUGAGAGGUUGAACGGACACAUUGGGACUGAGACACGGUCCAGACUCCUACGGGAGGGAGCAGUGGGGGAUAUUGCACAAUGGGGGAAACCCUGAUGCAGCGACGCCGCGUGGAGGAAGAAGGUUUUCGGAUUGUAAACUCCUGUCGUUAGGGACGAUAAUGACGGUACCUAACAAGAAAGCACCGGCUAACUACGUG